UGGCUCAGUUCUCUGUGUUGUUCUUACAUUACAGGGUACCAGAAACUACUGAUCUGAAGAGCCUGCUGUGUUACAGCUGCACACUGACUGUCAGAGACAUGUCCACAGUGAAGCACCUCCCUCAGUACAUCCUGUCAGAGGCUCAGAGGAGGCAGAGCAGGUCUCAAAUGAGAGAGGAGAUCGCUGAGUUCCUGCUGGAUGAUCAUGAUGAAGGAAAUUAGAAACAAGAGGAAAGUUUCGUCAAAGACGAUGUCAACUCAGCCUGCAGGAAGUAGAUGGUUUUCAUAUGUUUAACAAUGAAAUCCAUGGAGGGUUUUUGCAAAUGUAGCGAUUCAUUAUCUGUCUGUCUGUCCUUAGUCUAUGUGGGGCCAAAGGUAACACACAGACAGGCCUUCAGAAUGUAUUUGAUCACUUUUUUGGAAUUGAUCAUGGAAGCAGCCCUGCAGUCUGAUGAGGACUGAGAUGGACAGAUCUUUAGAGGGUUGUUUUUGUUGUUUUAUGCAUGCUUCCAGAAAUAGACCACAGUUCAGUGAUUUGUUAGUCAUAUUCAGAGUUGUAUUACAACCAGAAAACAUUAAUAUAUAAUUGUUAUACACAGCACUCUACUUUUAAGUUUGCCCAUGAACUUCUGUUUUUUUUUUUAUGUGUUUGUAAAUGAAGAAACUUCAAAGUUGACACUAUGUCUUUAUUUCCAUUUGUAGUACUGUGCCCUUAAUAAACCUUCAAAUUUCA
This is a long non-coding RNA of Archocentrus centrarchus (flier cichlid), 732 nucleotides long. RefSeq lists it as uncharacterized. The record is from RefSeq and is a predicted model, not a curated record. The transcript has 3 exons. NCBI's taxonomy places the organism in Eukaryota, Metazoa, Chordata, Actinopteri, Cichliformes, Cichlidae.